RNAcentral lists this ribosomal RNA (449 nucleotides) under uncultured bacterium. Its description in RNAcentral is "partial 16S ribosomal RNA". It matches the Rfam family "Bacterial small subunit ribosomal RNA", at positions 29 to 523 of the family's 1533-position model. The record is from RNAcentral.
AACGAACGCUGGCGGCAGGCUUAACACAUGCAAGUCGAACGCAUCCUUCGGGGUGAGUGGCAGACGGGUGAGUAACGCGUGGGAACGUGCCCUUCAGUUCGGGAUAACCCAGGGAAACUUGGGCUAAUACCGGAUACGUGCGAGAGCAGAAAGAUUUAUCGCUGAAGGAUCGGCCCGCGUCUGAUUAGCUAGUUGGUGGGGUAAUGGCCCACCAAGGCGACGAUCAGUAGCUGGUCUGGGAGGAUGAUCAGCCACAUUGGGACUGAGACACGGCCCAAACUCCUACGGGAGGCAGCAGUGGGGAAUAUUGGACAAUGGGCGCAAGCCUGAUCCAGCCAUGCCGCGUGAGUGAUGAAGGCCUUAGGGUUGUAAAGCUCUUUCGUCCGGGACGAUAAUGACGGUACCGGAAGAAGAAGCCCCGGCCAACUACGUGCCAGCAGCCGCAGUAA